This 469-nucleotide ribosomal RNA is filed under the name uncultured bacterium. RNAcentral describes it as "bacterial SSU rRNA". It matches the Rfam family "Bacterial small subunit ribosomal RNA", at positions 335 to 799 of the family's 1533-position model. The record is from RNAcentral.
ACUCCUACGGGAGGCAGCAGUAGGGAAUAUUGGUCAAUGGGCGAAAGCCUGAACCAGCCAUGCCGCGUGUCAGAUGAAGGUCCUCUGGAUUGUAAAUGACUUUUCUACGGGAAGAAUGAGCCGUCUGCGGACGGAAGUUGACGGUACCGUAGGAAUAAGCACCGGCUAACUACGUGCCAGCAGCCGCGGUAAUACGUAGGGUGCAAGCGUUGUCCGGAUUUACUGGGUUUAAAGGGUACGUAGGCGGUUGUGCCAAGUCUGGGGUGAAAGUUUGCAGCUCAACUGUAAAAUUGCCUUGGAUACUGGUCGGCUAGAGUAGUGGAGCGGUGGCUGGAAUUUAUAGUGUAGCGGUGAAAUGCUUAGAUACUAUGAGGAACACCAAUUGCGAAGGCAGGUCACUGGUCACUAACUGACGCUGAGGUACGAAAGUGUGGGAUCAAACAGGAUUAGAUACCCUGGUAGGAUAGCG